Silurus meridionalis is the source of this 669-nucleotide non-coding RNA. The record is from the annotation of a RefSeq genome assembly. NCBI's taxonomy places the organism in Eukaryota, Metazoa, Chordata, Actinopteri, Siluriformes, Siluridae.
AUCAAGAGUCAGGGCUGGACAUCAGUCUAUUUAUGUGAUGUGAAGGUUAAACUCUGUUAAAAGUUGGAGAACAGAGAAGACCCCAGUACAAACACCACACACCAUGUUCUCUACAUCUCUACUGCUCCUGCUGGCAGCUGCUUCCUAUGUGCAUGGUGUGGAACUGACUCAGCCUGCUUUCAUGACAGUCCAGCCAGGCCAGAGUCUCUCCAUCAACUGCAAGGUUUCAUAUUCUGUUACGAGCUAUGAGACAGCUUGGAUCCGACAACCUGCAGGAAAAGCUCUGGAGUGGAUUGGACACAUCAGUGGCGGUGGUAGCCUAUAUUACAGUGACAAACUGAAAAAUAAGUUCAGCAUCUCCAGAGACACAUCUACUAACACCAUAACAAUUAGAGGACAGAACAUGCAGACUGAAGACACAGCUGUGUAUUACUGCGCUCGCUACCCACAGUGAGACACGUCACCAACAUCCCUGUACAAAAACAUUCUGUACAGAAAUGAUCCAGUAUGGUGUGUGUUGUGUCGUGUUCUUUCAUGAACGUUGGACAACGUUGGAGUGAACAGUGCUCAUCAUGUUUUAAAACUUUGUUUGAUUAUUUUAUGUUACAGAAAAUCUAGAUAAAAUGUGUGUAGUAUAUCCAAACACAUACAGUAUCAGUUCUGUGCCAG